UGGGUAACCUGCCUCAAAGAGGGGAAUAGCCUCCCGAAAGGGAGAUUAAUACCGCAUAAUAUGUUUAGUCGCAUGACUUUAACAUCAAAGGAUUUCUUUUAGAAAUUCCACUUUGAGAUGGACCCGCGGCGCAUUAGCUAGUUGGUGAGGUAACGGCUCACCAAGGCAACGAUGCGUAGCCGACCUGAGAGGGUGAUCGGUCACAUUGGAACUGAGACACGGUCCAGACUCCUAGGCAGG
Molecule: ribosomal RNA, 240 nt
Filed under: uncultured bacterium
Lineage: Bacteria
Description: partial 16S ribosomal RNA
Rfam family: Bacterial small subunit ribosomal RNA
Source: RNAcentral